Molecule: long non-coding RNA, 2751 nt
Organism: Equus caballus (horse)
Lineage: Eukaryota; Metazoa; Chordata; Mammalia; Perissodactyla; Equidae
Source: Ensembl
AUCCCAACGGGAAGGAAGAGGCGCUCAGAGCUAGCGGAGUUGCCCACUCCCAGGGACAUCUGCAGGGGACCCAGCUCAGCAGGCCUCCCGGAGGACUUCUGAUGGGCCAGUCCACCUUACGAUCAGGCUGCAGCCAUCCCAGGGCAGUGCCAGCCACAACCAUCUCCCUCCCGGCAGCUGUGUUCAGGCCUAGCUGAUUGGGAGGGCCCAUUGGCAGCACAGGGCUGCCGGGGGGCGUGGCUGUAGAGCCUAAAAGGCCCCGCCCUGCAGGCCUGCUCCAGCUCUCUCUGUUGCCUGGGGCAGGCUCUCAGGAGCAGCUCCGAGAGUGUGGAGGGAAGAGAAACGAGUUAAGGAAGGAGACAGGGCUCAGGUCAUGAAAGGGAAGUCUCCAGAACAGGGAGAGAGUCCACAGUGGUGUGUCACAAGCACCAAUCCUUGGACCAUUGGGGAAACGGCUUUGCCUGUGAGGAAUAUGUAAGUGAGAAACAACGUUCAGAACCUUCCCUGCUCACCUGAAUGCAUUCAGUGACCGCUCGUUCAGUUCGUCACCCAUCGUUCUUUCAUCUCACAAUCCUCAUUGGGCAGUCCCCCGGCCAGGUGGUGUGCUUGUCACGGUGGACUCAGGACAUGCAGGUCUCUGAAGGUGCCAAAGAGCCUGCAGUCACGCCAGUGGUGGAGCACUCACUGAAAUCGUUUGAUCGCGUUUCACUACACCAUUGCAUCUGUAAUGGAAACUGUGAAAGGAAACCCUCCGCAGACAGCUGUAAUCAUCCUCGGUUACCUUGGAUUUGUUUGUUAUUGUUUUUUGUUCCUUCCAUAAAUUGUGCAAUGCCUCUUAUCAGGCAAGGAUUAGCUAAUGGGCGUAUUGUUUUAUCUCACUGAAUAAUAGUGGGAGUUAGAAAAAAGGGAAAUGUUCCCCGACCUUCCCCCACUGUCUAGGCAUCAGCCUUUCUGAAUGUGAAGGAGCACAAGCCUGCACUCCUAAAAGCCCAGGCCGCUAAGCCUGCAAGCAUUCAGACAAGAUGUAUAGGCGAAGAACAGACAGCAGAUGUGGAUAAAAGCAGCAGAAAUAUUGCCAAAGGCACUUUUCUCAUUCCCAUUGACCUCCCACACCAUGUUGGAAAAGUAACUACUCUUUAUUCAUUACUUUUCUCCUGGGUAACUACCAGGCUUUUCCUACAAUGUGGAUGCCCCUUAGGCUAGAUUCUUCUUUCUCAAUGUAGAUGCCUCAGGGAAGGGAAGACAAGCUCAUUAGCAGUUGGAGACAAAAUCAGAAGCUAAUUGACAGUAACUGAGUAUAGGAAUGGGCUCUAGAAUGGAUUCCUGGUUAGAAAUUGGACUAAUGGAGGAGGGGGAGGAAGUGCGCACCGACGAGAGAGGUGAGAAAUGGAACAAGAAACCAAUGCACAUCCCAACAUGGUCUGCUGAGAAACUUAGGAUAAUGAUCAUUGUUUUCCUCGGGGUCUCAAUGGCUGGCUUGUUACUCGGGAACUGACCCUCCUCCCUGCUUCUCAACCAGUCUGGAUACGGGGACAGGCUUUCCAAAUCAGAUCAUGAGAUAAACACUUGCAUGACAAGGAAAGCAGCGUGCUUCUCUGUGAAGGAAGGACUAGUUCCAUAGCUGAGCUUCAGUUGCUCCUUCGGAAGCAGAACGGACUGCCAUCUGCAUCAACUGGAACCUUCUGGAAACCACGCAGUGCAAAGAUUCCCAGGGAAACCUACCUGAGAUUCAAUUGUUAACAAAAUGAAGGCCGGCUACACUCAGCUGGGACUUUUCAAUAAUCCCAAUAAAAGGGAAGAUUCGGGUCCUGCUCUGACUGUGGACUCCAUCUUGGUGUUUUUAAAGUCUGUGUUGGUCAGCAUUUCAAAUCUAGCCGCAUAGUUGUCAAAGAAUUUGGCGUAUGUGAUGAUUUUAAAAUAUGUCCACAGAUUGUUCAGUACUCCUCCCUUCAAGAGGUGGGCCUUAUUUCCACUCCUCUUGAGUGUGGCCUAGACUUGGUGACUCAUUUCUAACAAAUAAUAUAAGCGGAGCUGUUACUUCCAAGGUUAGGUCAUAAAAGACGUUGUGCUCUCCACCUUGCUCUGCUUUGUCUCUUGGGUCACUCAUGCUGGAGGAAGCCAGCUGCCACAUCGUGAAGACACUUAAGCAGCCCUCUGGGGACGCUCACUUUGCACAGAAAUGAGCUCUCUGUCCAACAGACAAUGAAGAACUAAGGCUUCCAGCCAACAGCCAUGUGAGUGCACCAUCUUGGAAUCAGAUCCUCUAGCCCCAGUAAAGCCUUCAGUUGCUACAGCCCCAACCAGCAUCUUUUCUGGAUCCUCUUGAGAGACCUCGAGCCAGAAUGACCCAGGAAAAACUGCAACUCCACUGUCGCCCAAACUCAGACCACUCAGACUCUGAGGCUCUGCUCCUACCACCAUCUCUGGACGCUCACAGGCUCAGGACCCAGACUGCACCACAGGAUACAAAAGUUGGCUUCCCAGAGGCACCUGGAAGAAUCAGGUCCCACUGGCUUUGCAGUUCUUGACUUCAUCUACUUUAUAUACCAAGAUGUGGAUGUUACCCUUGCUGCGGAUGUUAUGUCAUUCAGAAUCAACCUAAAGACGACCUUCUCAUAAAGACCUUUUAAAGUCGUCGCCACCAUCAUGUCCCUUGUCCCAUGUCUCUGUGCGGCACUGAUUUUCCCCUUGUUCAGUGUGUGUUGAUGCUAGUAUCUGUCUACGUGGAGGUGUACUCUCCAUAAAGAGGUG